Molecule: ribosomal RNA, 494 nt
Filed under: uncultured bacterium
Lineage: Bacteria
Description: partial 16S ribosomal RNA
Rfam family: Bacterial small subunit ribosomal RNA
Source: RNAcentral
GAACGCUGGCGGCGUGCCUAAUACAUGCAAGUCGAGCGAACAGACGAGGAGCUUGCUCCUCUGACGUUAGCGGCGGACGGGUGAGUAACACGUGGAUAACCUACCUAUAAGACUGGGAUAACUUCGGGAAACCGGAGCUAAUACCGGAUAAUAUAUUGAACCGCAUGGUUCAAUAGUGAAAGACGGUUUUGCUGUCACUUAUAGAUGGAUCCGCGCCGCAUUAGCUAGUUGGUAAGGUAACGGCUUACCAAGGCAACGAUGCGUAGCCGACCUGAGAGGGUGAUCGGCCACACUGGAACUGAGACACGGUCCAGACUCCUACGGGAGGCAGCAGUAGGAAAUCUUCCGCAAUGGGCGAAAGCUUGACGGAGCAACGCCGCGUGAGUGAUGAAGGUCUUCGGAUCGUAAAACUCUGUUAUUAGGGAAGAACAAAUGUGUAAGUAACUAUGCACGUCUUGACGGUACCUAAUCAGAAAGCCACGGCUAACUACGUG